Molecule: ribosomal RNA, 427 nt
Filed under: uncultured bacterium
Lineage: Bacteria
Description: partial 16S ribosomal RNA
Rfam family: Bacterial small subunit ribosomal RNA
Source: RNAcentral
UGGGGAAUAUUGCACAAUGGGCGCAAGCCUGAUGCAGCCAUGCCGCGUGUAUGAAGAAGGCCUUCGGGUUGUAAAGUACUUUCAGCGAGGAGGAAGGCGGUAAGGUUAAUAACCUUAUCGAUUGACGUUACUCGCAGAAGAAACACCGGCUAACUCCGUGCCAGCAGCCGCGGUAAUACGGAGGGAGCAAGCGUUAAUCGGAAUUACUGGGCGUAAAGCGCACGCAGGCGGUCUGUCAAGUCGGAUGUGAAAUCCCCGGGCUCAACCUGGGAACUGCAUUCGAAACUGGCAGGCUAGAGUCUUGUAGAGGGGGGUAGAAUUCCAGGUGUAGCGGUGAAAUGCGUAGAGAUCUGGAGGAAUACCGGUGGCGAAGGCGGCCCCCUGGACAAAGACUGACGCUCAGGUGCGAAAGCGUGGGGAGCAAACA